Molecule: long non-coding RNA, 3087 nt
Organism: Alexandromys fortis (reed vole)
Lineage: Eukaryota; Metazoa; Chordata; Mammalia; Rodentia; Cricetidae
Exons: 2
Source: RefSeq, a predicted model, not a curated record
CUGAUGAAUUCACUGCUUCUGUUCCAAAGCUUCCAGGGUGAAGUUGCCUUUGGGGCGGGUGAUCUGUUUCUGUGUUUGGGCGCCUGCCAGCUGGAGAAAGUGCUGUCUUGGCACUCUGCAGCCAGUCUGGAAGGGUAGGAUCUGGGGAGCCUCCCGGGAAGGUGUUUUCUUGAAUUCCUGUGCAGGCUCCAAGAACUCUGGCUGGAACUCGAGGGCAUGUCGCUGCUGGUUGUGUGUUUGAUUGACUGCUGGACAGGAGCCAGGUAUGUUGCCUUCUUCUGAGUUUUUGGCUGUUCACAUGUGGCUCUUGAGAGGUGAGUAUGGCCACAAAACCUCCUGGAAGGUAUUGUGAUGAAUCCCAAGGAAGCUUCUGUUUUCUCAGCUCCUUCCUAGUCACACAAAGGAUCUACUGCUUCUCCUGUAAGAAGGGCGGCUCACCGUCAAAUGGAUUGGAAGUGUGGUUCCUCUCGUUUUCUUCAUGUUUUUCUUUUUUAUGUUCUCUCUGUCAUUGAGAUUUAAAUUCAGAAGCAAGUUAUAUAUUCUCUCCUGAUGAAAUUUGGCUUCAUUAGUUCUGGUCUGCUUCAAAAACAUGACUAAAAACUGGUUAUAGUUGGAAAUUACAAGAAAAGAGACCACCCUCUCCACUUAAGACUGGGGGAGAGCCACAGAAAGAGGAGAGGCAGGAGGAGAAGUGAGCAGAGUCUGUUAGGAAAGAAAGAGCCUAUGUAGUUGUUCAGUCCAGUUCCUCCCACACUGUCCUGUGGAGUCAGAUGCGCAGGGGCCUGUGGAAAAACAACCGAAAAGAAAAUCUAUGACAGGUGCUUGACCUUAUCACAGAUACAGAGUUAAGACAGAGAUCACCUCAAGAUGCCGGAGACUGGAUCUGUAUUUCCCUAAAUCUGCUAUAGUGAAGUCCUUGCCUCACUCUCUCAAAAUGUGGUUAUUUUGGAAAUGAGACCCCUAAAAAGGUAUGGAAGAGUUCCCACUAUGGCCGCACACUCUACUGACACGUGUUCUCAGCACUGUGACCAGUCGUGAGUCUCUGCGUCAAACAUGCACUACCCUGUGAAGACACUUCUCUGAUAAGACUUGAACGAGUGUAGAGAUUUGUACUUUGGACACACUUUGGUGCUCUGUUACAUCCCUCCCCACAAGGCUCAGGAAAGGUGGUGGAAGAGGGGCCAGGAAAACUGUAAGAUCCAGAGGUUUGGGAGGACCGGACAUGACAGGACCACUGCACGAAUUCACAGCAGCUGUGGUCGCCUGAACAAGACCUCUACAAGAUCAAGCCAGUCAACAUUCCAGCAUGGAUGAGGAGGGGCACACGAACUGGCACCUCUAGCCGAGGAGCUGUUGACAGUCAUUGGCUGUCAAGGAAGGUGCAUUUUAUACUGCCUUGCUUCUGCAAAGGUAACACACACUGGUGUCCUCAGAGGGAAAUGUACUAGUUCAUGUGACAGCACUAAGACCUGGCCCAGGACGAGACAAAUGCGGAGCCCGAGGCAUAAAUUAGAAGGAGACAAGGUCAUGCAAGUCUGGAAUUUGCACUUGCACAACCAGGAGAGUUGGCUGCUCUGGGCACAGAAAAGGCAGAUGUUCGCUCACUGUGAGAGCCCUUCUGUGGCUGCAGUGGCAUUUGUAGAACGUUGCUACCUAGAUUUCAUGCCCUAAUUAUUACUUGUCUCGUUCUAGAUGAGGCCCUGUCCCAUACAUACAACACCAGGAAUGCACCCUCUUUCAGGACAGUGGUGCUUGUUUAUUUUUGCAGAUGAGGGGAGGCCACCUUGACUGUGUCUAUGUGAGCCCAGGAGGUGCUGGGCACAUCCAGUUCCUGGAGGCUGAGCACCUCCAGUGUGUGCCAGGGCUGACACCCGCUUAGUGCCCGAUCUUAUUUCUAUUCAAGGUCAAACAGAAAAGCCUGCUCUUGACUACAGUCGAGUUCGGUGAAAGCUGGGGGGGCAGAUGGGGACAAUCCAUCUCACCCUUUCUGUGUGGCACAUUUGGUAUUUUCCUAGAGCAGCCGCAGAGUUACCAACAAAACUGGAGAUUGUGUCUGUUGAACUUUCUGUUGAUUGGAGUUUGUUUCUCUUGCAGGUUCAGGUCAAGUCUAAGGAUUAUUAGAUCCAAGAAACAACCCCAAAGCAUCUUUCUUAAAGGUCUUCAGAUGUGAGAGCAAAUGAUUGUAGUGCCCUAGGGCACUGAGGAAUCCAUGAGUUGAAACUCUCAUCUUAUAGGUGGGAAAUCUGGGCAACUGCUGUGAACGGACUAAUCAAGAAAUCAUAGCAGUGUGCUAGACAAACCCAGGGAGGGGACUGACAAUGAACGUCAGACACAGGGGUCUGUGUUCUCUCUGCAGUAGCAUGAUUCGGAGCGUGCCUAGAAGGUGGUCCCUUUAAGGGCCCUAUUGACAUCCCAGAGGUCCUCUUUACACAUUAAGCCUACGCAGGCACCCUUAUUCAGUGGCUCCCGGAUAGGUUGUAGAUGCAUGUAUCGUCUCUUGGGAGGUAACUUCUGGAGCUUUGAACACUGCUUGUCCCAUUCUAUUAAGAGCAUUCCUUUAUUUACUGCCCAGAUUUUCCUAGACUAGAAUAAUCUGUGGGCGAUUCGCAGUACUCAUGUCUAAGAUUGAUGUUACUUCCCAGCUCGUUCUGGUGGACUCACUGCACCCACUAAUGCUCCUCAUCCUGCUCGUGGUCAGCGUGGUCUCCAUGUGCACCUGCCGUGGCGGCUUUAACCAAUCUUGCAUCAUCGCGACUAGAGACAUAGCUAGGUUUGUCCCUUGGAGGAUGUUAGCGGUCAGAAGAGCAAUCCUUCCCCCACGGUGUGCAGGGAGACUUCACAUCAGUCUGCUCCGCUCAUGUCAAAGCCCAGGUCUCUCCCGCAGUUUUCCUUUAUCCACACCUGAAGCAACUCUCAGGAUGUCACACCUCCACCAUCGGGUGAGCAGAAAGGAGACUCAAUCAUGAAAGCGAUGUUUUGGUUGAUUAUGUAAAAGUAGCAAUCCUUUUUUUUUUGUUCAUAUCGGGGCUUUUAAUCUUAAGUUGUCUCAUUAAUGCUGACAAACAUAAACGGUAUAAUUAUCCUUUU